RNAcentral lists this ribosomal RNA (852 nucleotides) under uncultured bacterium. RNAcentral describes it as "bacterial SSU rRNA". It matches the Rfam family "Bacterial small subunit ribosomal RNA", at positions 21 to 886 of the family's 1533-position model. The record is from RNAcentral.
GGCUCAGGAUGAACGCUGGCGGCGUGCUUAAUACAUGCAAGUCGAACGGAGGCUUUGUAGUAAUACGAAGUUCUCAGUGGCGAACGGGCGAGUAACGAGUUGGUGACCUGCCCCGAAGUGUGGGAUAACAGUCCGAAAGGAUUGCUAAUACCGCAUGUGAUCAUUGGAUUUAGAAACUGAUGAUUAAAGCAGUAAUGCGCUUCGGGAGGGACCUGCUUCCCAUCAGCUAGUUGGUGAGGUAAUGGCCCACCAAGGCUACGACGGGUAAGGGACCUGAGAGGGUGGUCCCUCGCAAUGGCACUGAAACACGGGCCAUACACCUACGGGUGGCAGCAGUAGGGAAUAUUGGGCAAUGGGCGAAAGCCUGACCCAGCAACGCCGCGUGCACGAUGAAGGCCUUCGGGUCGUAAAGUGCUUUUCUGAGGAAUGAGUAAGGACAGUACCUCAGGAAUAAGCCUCGGCUAACUACGUGCCAGCAGCCGCGGUAAAACGUAGGAGGCGAGCGUUAUCCGGAUUUACUGGGCGUAAAGCGUGUGUAGGCGGUUCGGCAAGUUGGAUGUGAAAGCUCCUGGCUUAACUAGGAGAGGUCGUUCAAUACUACCGAACUUGAGGGCAUCAGAGGAAGGUGGAAUUCCCGGUGUAGUGGUGAAAUGCGUAGAUAUCGGGAGGAACACCAGUGGCGAAAGCGGCCUUCUGGGAUGUUCCUGACGCUCAGACACGAAAGCUAGGGUAGCGAACGGGAUUAGAGACCCCGGUAGUCCUAGCAGUAAACGAUGUAGACUUGGUGUCGGAGGUGUCAAAACCUUCGGUAUCGAGGCUAACGCGAUAAGUCUACCGCCUGGGGACUACGGC